Phyllostomus hastatus (greater spear-nosed bat) is the source of this 1074-nucleotide non-coding RNA. NCBI's taxonomy places the organism in Eukaryota, Metazoa, Chordata, Mammalia, Chiroptera, Phyllostomidae. The record is from the annotation of a RefSeq genome assembly.
GAGAGAGGUGUGGGGGAGGCUCUGCUUCAGCUGUGGGGCCACAGAAGGCAGGACUCAGGGAUGGACUCCACCAUGGCCUGGUCCCCUCUCCUGCUCACCGUCCUGGCUCACUGCACAGGGUCCUGGGCCCAGGCUGUGCUGACUCAGCCGCCCUCAGUGUCGGGGAACCCAGGACAGAGGGUCACCAUCUCCUGCACUGGAAGCAGCACCAACAUUGGGUAUGGUGAAGAUGUGUACUGGUUCCAACAGUUCCCAGCAAAACCCCCUAAAACCAUCAUCUAUGGUACUAGCAUCAGACCCUCUGGGAUCCCCGACCGAUUCUCUGGAUCCAAGUCUGGCAGUGUCGGCACCCUGACCGUCAGUGGGCUCCAGAUGGACGAUGAGGCUGACUAUUACUGCACAGCAUGGGACAGGAGUCUCAGUGCUCCCACAGUGCUGCAGGGCCGUGGGGAAGUGUGACAAAAACCUGCUGUCCCCUGCAGUGCAGUUCCCCGGUGCAGUCCCCACUCCUCUGAGAAGACAGCUGCUUUCUCGGUUUGCUUGGCCUGAACUCAGGUCUGAAACCCAACAUAGGACUUUUUCAGGAAUAUUUGUCACAUUCUUUGAACACUGCCUCUGAGGCCUGUCUGUGGCAGCAACACCUUGUGCAGUUUUCUCAAAUGAGGGGAAGGUCCUGUGUGUCAGGGGGAGGCUGUGCUAGGAACGGAAUCUGUGAUGGGUCAGCAAGAACCAGGGAAAGGGAACCAGCUGUGUUCGCAUCACUGCACAUCAGGAAGGCUGAGUGUGUGUUGUCACCAACAUGUCCCACUAAGCCCCAACCCUGCCCAUCACUCAUGACAGAUCCACCCUGUGUGGCCCAUGAUCCAUUCCCAGGAUCAGCUUUGGCAGCUCAGGGUCCCUGACCCUCACUGGCCUGAGAGCUGAGGACAAGACUGCUUCUCACAACCACCCUGUGACAGUGUCCUCUGUGCUCACACAGAGCUGCAGGCCUGUGGGACCUGAGACCAGGAGAAGCUCGUUCUCAUCUGCAGGAAGGGGACUUCCCAGCAUGUGCCACUCAGGACACCUGUGGCU